AGUCGAGCGAACAGAUAAGGAGCUUGCUCCUUUGAAGUUAGCGGCGGACGGGUGAGUAACACGUGGGUAACCUACCUAUAAGACUGGAAUAACUUCGGGAAACCGGAGCUAAUGCCGGAUAACAUAUAGAACCGCAUGGUUCUAUAGUGAAAGAUGGUUUUGCUAUCACUUAUAGAUGGACCCGCGCCGUAUUAGCUAGUUGGUAAGGUAAAGGCUUACCAAGGCGACGAUACGUAGCCGACCUGAGAGGGUGAUCGGCCACACUGGAACUGAGACACGGUCCAGACUCCUACGGGAGGCAGCAGUAGGGAAUCUUCCGCAAUGGGCGAAAGCCUGACGGAGCAACGCCGCGUGAGUGAUGAAGGUUUUCGGAUCGUAAAACUCUGUUAUUAGGGAAGAACAAAUGCGUAAGUAACUGUGCGCAUCUUGACGGUACCUAAUCAGAAAGCCACGGCUAACUACGUGCCAGCAGCCGCGGUAAUACGUAGGUGGCAAGCGUUAUCCGGAAUUAUUGGGCGUAAAGCGCGCGUAGGCGGUUUCUUAAGUCUGAUGUGAAAGCCCACGGCUCAACCGUGGAGGGUCAUUGGAAACUGGGAAACUUGAGUGCAGAAGAGGAAAGUGGAAUUCCAUGUGUAGCGGUGAAAUGCGCAGAGAUAUGGAGGAACACCAGUGGCGAAGGCGACUUUCUGGUCUGUAACUGACGCUGAUGUGC
RNAcentral lists this ribosomal RNA (712 nucleotides) under Staphylococcus succinus. RNAcentral describes it as "bacterial SSU rRNA". It matches the Rfam family "Bacterial small subunit ribosomal RNA", at positions 60 to 754 of the family's 1533-position model. The record is from RNAcentral. Lineage: Bacteria; Bacillati; Bacillota; Bacilli; Caryophanales; Staphylococcaceae.